GACGAACGCUGGCGGCGUGCCUAAUACAUGCAAGUUGAGCGCUGAAGGUUGGUACUUGUACCAACUGGAUGAGCAGCGAACGGGUGAGUAACGCGUGGGGAAUCUGCCUUUGAGCAGGGGACAACAUUUGGAAACGAAUGCUAAUACCGCAUAAAAACUUUAAACACAAGUUUUAAGUUUGAAAGAUGCAAUUGCAUCACUCAAAGAUGAUCCCGCGUUGUAUUAGCUAGUUGGUGAGGUAAAGGCUCACCAAGGCGAUGAUACAUAGCCGACCUGAGAGGGUGAUCGGCCACAUUGGGACUGAGACACGGCCCAAACCCCUACGGGAGGCAGCAGUAGGGAAUCUUCGGCAAUGGACGAAAGUCUGACCGAGCAACGCCGCGUGAGUGAAGAAGGUUUUCGGAUCGUAAAACUCUGUUGGUAGAGAAGAACGUUGGUGAGAGUGGAAAGCUCACCAAGUGACGGUAACUACCCAGAAAGGGACGGCUAACUACGUG
RNAcentral lists this ribosomal RNA (497 nucleotides) under uncultured bacterium. RNAcentral describes it as "partial 16S ribosomal RNA". It matches the Rfam family "Bacterial small subunit ribosomal RNA", at positions 28 to 507 of the family's 1533-position model. The record is from RNAcentral.